UAAGGAAUAUUGGUCAAUGGACGCAAGUCUGAACCAGCCAUGCCGCGUGACGGAUGAAGGUCCUCUGGAUUGUAAACUUCUUUUAUCUGGGACGAAAACGGGCUUUUUAUCUCAAUUGACGGUACCAGAGGAAUAAGCACCGGCUAACUCCGUGCCAGCAGCCGCGGUAAUACGGAGGGUGCGAGCGUUACCCGGAUUUACUGGGUCUAAAGGGUGCGUAGGUGGGCUUAUAAGUCAGUGGUGAAAUCUCCGAGCUUAACUUGGAAACUGCCGUUAAUUCUAUAGGUCUUGAAUUAUCUGGAUGUUAGCGGAAUAUGUCAUGUGGCGGUGAAAUGCUUAGAUAUGACAUAGAACACCAAUUGCUAAGUCAGCUUACUACAUAUAAAUUGACGCU
Molecule: ribosomal RNA, 394 nt
Filed under: uncultured bacterium
Lineage: Bacteria
Description: bacterial SSU rRNA
Rfam family: Bacterial small subunit ribosomal RNA
Source: RNAcentral